UCCUUUUUAGUAUAUUGAGAGUAGUAUAUUUAACUUCGGAUUAAGUGGAUCCUGUGGAGGGGAAAAGGAA
This 70-nucleotide transfer RNA is filed under the name Campanulotes compar (small pigeon louse). RNAcentral describes it as "tRNA-Arg". The record is from RNAcentral. Lineage: Eukaryota; Metazoa; Arthropoda; Insecta; Psocodea; Philopteridae.